CACAGCUGAGGAGUCCCACAAUAGGACGAAACGGCCUUCAAGGGC
RNAcentral lists this non-coding RNA (45 nucleotides) under Schistosoma mansoni. The record is from RNAcentral. Lineage: Eukaryota; Metazoa; Platyhelminthes; Trematoda; Strigeidida; Schistosomatidae.